This is a non-coding RNA of Schizosaccharomyces pombe (fission yeast), 1214 nucleotides long. NCBI's taxonomy places the organism in Eukaryota, Fungi, Ascomycota, Schizosaccharomycetes, Schizosaccharomycetales, Schizosaccharomycetaceae. The record is from the annotation of a GenBank genome assembly.
ACAACGUGCCGUUUUUUACAUCCCGAAAAAAAGUCCCCAACGGAGCAGAGAGCAGCAAAUAAGAUUUUCGCCAAAAACACUCAUUACCGUUACCAACUUUUCAGGACCAAAGAAAUUUGAUGUUUUAACGAAAUUGCCGAGCCGUAAUCAAAGUGAAUCAAAAGUGGUUCAUAUUUCGCCAACAAAAAUUAAGCAACUCUCUCAUUGGGGAUGAAAGUUCCCAUUUCGAAAAUAGAUAAUGAAACAUAGCGCAAAAUGUACAAUGUUUUAAGGCAUUUCUGGCAAAUUUCAUUCACUAAAACAUAGAAUAACUACAACGAUUGAAAAGAAGCUCAUGAAUGUCUGUACAAAGAUGCAGCAUUAAGUUCACAAACUAAGUAAGUGAGAAGUAUGACAGAAAAGUAAUUAUUGAAUGGGUUAAAAAUAGAUAAAUUCAGCUUAACUUUUCCCUUAAACAGCUGUAGUAGUACUGGUAAUUUCCUGAUAGUUCAUUUUGCUUGUCUCGGUGGUAAUGGGGGUUUCAUGAAUCAGUGUGGUACCCAAUCUUUUGGGGGUUUGCUUGACGAUAAUCUCAUACUUGCCUGGAAGGUGAAAAGCGGCUUGCUUCAAUGCAUGCUCAGCUAACUCUUUACGCAUUCCAUCACCACCAAUUUCAAAAAGUACACGACCGAUUGGUAUCCGUGCAGCCCAGUAUUCAAAAGCUCCUUUGCCUUUGCCCAUACGAGUUUCAUUUCCUUUUACGCAUACUGGCACAUUGCAACAAAAACGUGUGUAUACCCGAGCAGCCUUGAUAGGUUUUAAUAUACGCUUGAGAAUCUGUUCGGCAGUUUCGAGUUGCUUGGCAUGAAAUCUUAUACUUCGAUCUUUUAAUCGCAUACCAUAUUCUCCCCAUUCAAGUUGAGUACCACGUAGUGAACCUCCUAUGGGUAUAGGGACUCUUCCUUUCUGAGCUUUUUGGUUUCUGAUGCUUCUGGGUGCAUACUGGUGUCCCCAACGAACCAUCGUUUGGAUAGGCGGCAUUUGUAAACCAUUCAACCUCGUAGGUCCUAAAAUACCAGAAAAAAAGAAAGGAAAUUUAUUGUAUUGUUGUAAAGCCAUAUUAUAUAAGUUUUUAUGUUGUGAGGGUUUCAAAAAGUCAUAAAACAACGUGUUUUUAUUAUCAUGCAAAAGUCGUUCUUUAAAGUUACUCAGAAAUAUUCAAAAUAAUCAAAUUU